RNA transcript from Carcharodon carcharias (great white shark), 1982 nucleotides. It is a transcript of the gene named cholinephosphotransferase 1-like, with no coding region annotated. The transcript has 9 exons. Lineage: Eukaryota; Metazoa; Chordata; Chondrichthyes; Lamniformes; Lamnidae. The record is from RefSeq and is a predicted model, not a curated record.
CCUCCAAGCCCCUCCUCCCGGGGCCUAGGCGCUGUUUCGGGGCCGCAGCCUGGCCUUUUGGCUUACUGGGUGGCGGUUCUCGGUUGCCGGGGAUGGGGCGGCUGCUGCAGCCUCUGAGCGAGGCGCAGUUGAAGCGCUUGGAGGAUCACCGGUACCGGGCGGCCGGCCGCUCCCUGCUCGAGCCGCCGCUGCAGCGAUUCUGGGUCUGGCUCCUGGAGAGAGUCCCUCCCUGGUUGGCCCCAAACUCUAUCACCCUGAUCGGACUGGCCUGUAACCUCCUGAGCUGCCUCCUCCUGGUUUAUCACUGCCCCCAGGGCAGGGAGCAGGCACCAGCCUAUGUGUACAUUCUGUGUGGUCUGGGAUUAUUUAUUUACCAAUCUUUGGAUGCAAUUGAUGGCAAACAAGCUCGAAGGACCAACAGCAGCUCUCCUCUCGGAGAGCUUUUUGACCAUGGCUGUGAUUCCUUUUCCACAGUUAUGGUUGGCUUGGGCUCCUGUCUGGCCGUUCGCCUGGGAACAGAUCCAGACCUGAUGUUUUUCUGCUGUUUCAUUGGCAUCUUUAUGUUCUAUUGUGCUCACUGGCAAACCUACGUUUCAGGAUCUCUACGAUUUGGCAAAAUUGAUGUAACUGAAGUUCAAAUCUGCAUAAUGCUCAUCUUUUUCUUGUCUGCCAUUGGAGGAGCUACUCUUUGGGAUUACCAGAUUCCAGUACUAGGACUGAGAGUGAAGAUCCUGCCCGUAUUUGGAAUAAUAGCAGGAGCAAUCUAUUCCUGUACCAAUUACUUCCGGGUCAUCUUUUCUGGUGGGACAGGCAAAAAUGGUUCCACAAUAGCGGGUACCAGUGUUCUGUCACCUUCCUUGCACAUUGGACUGGUCAUAAUAAUGGCUAUAAUGAUCUACAAAAAAUCCACUACACGCUUGUUUGAGGAUCACCCUUGCCUUUAUGUGUUAAUGUUUGGAUGUGUAGCUUCAAAAAUCACAAACAAAUUAGUGGUGGCACAUAUGACCAAAAGUAAGGUGAAACUGCAAGACACAGCGUUCUUAGGGCCUGGGCUGCUGUUCCUGAACCAAUACUUUAAUAGUUUUAUUAAUGAGUACUUUGUACUAUGGACAGCUAUGAUCUUCUCCCUGUGCGAUUUGAUGAUUUACUGCACCUCCGUCUGCAUUCAGAUCGCUUCACACCUCCACAUCGAGGUUUUCCGAAUUCCAUAUCAAGCUCCUGAACAGGUUCAGAACCAUCAUGACUGACAAUUUGCCCAAAAGGAGGAGGAAGAGAUGGAGAGGGACCACACAAGUGAAAAAGAGCCAUUAUCUAGUAUCAGAAAUCCUGAUCAACUGCUAAACCAACCAGACCUUAUUAAUCUAGAAGGGCCUGUGUACAUUCCAGCUCCCGUCUCCCCUCAGAACAACAUGGGCUGAAGAGACCUGCAAACAUUCGCCAUCUCUUCUUGCUGCUGUGUCACGUGAAGGGGAGGAUUAUUAGAACACUUAUGAAGUGGAUGACCUAUAGGUUUAUACAUAUUUUUAUUUCAAAAACAAACCAUGAAGGAGUUUCUGAUCUUUGCAAGAAAAUGACAAUCAAUGACUUGGGUAAAUUGAUUUUUGUAUUAAAUCAUUGCUGGUAAUUUUUUUUUAAACCUACAAUUAAGCUAUAAAAUCACGUUUAAACUGUGCUUCACCUUUGUAUGUUUCACGUGCACAUUAUUCUUUUUUCUCUCAGUUUGGCAAGCCACAGGAUGCAUGUCGUUCACUGUAUCAUAAUCCUGUUCUAUAAAGCAACCAUUUCCUUUUGAAUUUCUUGCUGUAAUCCAUUAUUUUGGUUUGGAUCUUCCUGGUCCUGAAAGUUAAGUACUUUAAUUACAAUCUGUUCCAAUAUUUAUGCAAACUGGUUAUAAUAAAAAAAAUGUAAAAUUGUCAAUGUUAUCCUGACACAACUUUCAGAUACCUCUGCGUAAACAACACUAAAUAAAAUCUGUAACCCUC